This 584-nucleotide ribosomal RNA is filed under the name uncultured bacterium. Its description in RNAcentral is "bacterial SSU rRNA". It matches the Rfam family "Bacterial small subunit ribosomal RNA", at positions 56 to 635 of the family's 1533-position model. The record is from RNAcentral.
UGCAAGUCGAACGGCAGCGGGGGCUUCGGCCCGCCGGCGAGUGGCGAACGGGUGAGUAAUGCAUCGGAACGUACCCAGUCGUGGGGGAUAACUACGCGAAAGCGUAGCUAAUACCGCAUACGCCCUGAGGGGGAAAGCGGGGGACCUUCGGGCCUCGCGCGAUUGGAGCGGCUGAUGUCGGAUUAGCUAGUUGGUGGGGUAAAGGCCUACCAAGGCGACGAUCCGUAGCUGGUCUGAGAGGAUGAUCAGCCACACUGGGACUGAGACACGGCCCAGACUCCUACGGGAGGCAGCAGUGGGGAAUUUUGGACAAUGGGCGCAAGCCUGAUCCAGCCAUGCCGCGUGAGUGAAGAAGGCCUUCGGGUUGUAAAGCUCUUUCAGACGGAAAGAAAUCGGGCGCGUGAAUAGCGUGCCUGGAUGACGGUACUGUCAGAAGAAGCACCGGCUAACUACGUGCCAGCAGCCGCGGUAAUACGUAGGGUGCGAGCGUUAAUCGGAAUUACUGGGCGUAAAGCGUGCGCAGGCGGUUGUGUAAGACAGGUGUGAAAUCCCCGGGCUUAACCUGGGUACUGCGCUUGUGACUG